Molecule: ribosomal RNA, 331 nt
Filed under: uncultured eukaryote
Lineage: Eukaryota
Description: partial 18S ribosomal RNA
Rfam family: Eukaryotic small subunit ribosomal RNA
Source: RNAcentral
CCCUUAGAUGUUCUGGGCCGCGCGCGCGCUACACUGAUGCAUUCAACGAGUUUUGUUUGUUCCUUGGCCGAGAGGCCUGGGCAAUCUUUUGAACUUGCAUCGUGAUAGGGAUAGAUUAUUGCAAUUAUUAAUCUUGAACGAGGAAUUCCUAGUAAACGCAGAUCAUCAAUCUGCAUUGAUUACGUCCCUGCCCUUUGUACACACCGCCCGUCGCACCUACCGAUUGAAUGGUCCGGUGAAGCCUCGGGAUUGUGGUUGGUUUCCUUUAUUGGAGAUUGAUUGCGAGAACUUGUCUAAACCUUAUCAUUUAGAGGAAGGUGAAGUCGUAACA